AUGAGAGGGUUUCUGAGUCACUGCGGGUGGAACUCGGUGCUGGAGAGCGUCACAGCUGCUGUGCCGCUGGCAGUUUGGCCUAUGCAUGCUGAUCAACCUUUGAACGCAACAUUUGUAGUUGAUGAGCUCAAGAUAGCGGUUAGGGUCCACACGAGUGAUAGAACGAUGCGGGGUUUGGCCACGAGCGAGGAAAUAUCAGAGGUGGUCAGGAAGCUUAUGCUCGGGCAGGCCGGAAUUGAAGCGGCAAAGAAUGUUGCCGGGCUAUCGGCGCUAGCUAUGGAGUCCGUGUUGGAGGGAGGGUCCUCUUGGAAAUCAGUGGAGGAGAUGAUCGGUGAGUUGUGUGCACCCAACAUGCAUGCAAAUGUUGAGCCAAGCAAGGAGGAGUCUUGA
Molecule: ribosomal RNA, 390 nt
Filed under: Triticum aestivum (bread wheat)
Lineage: Eukaryota; Viridiplantae; Streptophyta; Magnoliopsida; Poales; Poaceae
Description: partial small subunit ribosomal RNA
Source: RNAcentral